RNAcentral lists this long non-coding RNA (556 nucleotides) under Nicotiana benthamiana. Its description in RNAcentral is "long non-coding RNA (NBEN_LNC034307)". The record is from RNAcentral. Lineage: Eukaryota; Viridiplantae; Streptophyta; Magnoliopsida; Solanales; Solanaceae.
AGGAAGCAACGGAUGAAGAUGUGGUUCGGAGAUCAACGCGUGUCCGUGCUCCACCAAGGGAUAAUCCUGCUCUUGCCUUUUUGAAGUAUGUUAACAAAUGGAAAGAAGACUGACUUGGAAGUUAGGCUAUGGUGUUACACUGCCGUUCAGAUUUUGUAUUGAAAUUGGAGCUAACCAUCAAUACGAGAUGAAUAUAGGGUAAUGAAAUUCAUCAAGACUGACUUGGAAAUUAGGCUAUGGUACUCUGCUAUUCAGAUUUUGUAUUGAAAUCGCAGCUAACCAUCAAUACGAGAUGAAUGUAAAGAUGAAAUUCAUCCUGCAUUUGUUAAAAUGGCAGUUUAAUUUUUUUCUUCGCAUUUGAACGCUGGCCAUGAUAGGAAUGAAAUUUUGUUCUUCAUUCCUGUGAUUAUGGUACAGAUUCAAGGUUACUGUUCCAAUUUUGUAUACAGUGCCUAUAGGCUGGUAGAUAUUUUGUUAAUGUAGUUGCUAGCAUCAGUACUUUCUUCUAAUAAUUUUGUCUAUCUACAUUGAUCAUAUUGUGAUAAGAAUGAAAUAC